This 497-nucleotide ribosomal RNA is filed under the name uncultured bacterium. RNAcentral's name for it is "partial 16S ribosomal RNA". It matches the Rfam family "Bacterial small subunit ribosomal RNA", at positions 28 to 507 of the family's 1533-position model. The record is from RNAcentral.
GAUGAACGCUGGCGGCGUGCCUAAUACAUGCAAGUCGAGCGAACAGACGAGGAGCUUGCUCCUCUGACGUUAGCGGCGGACGGGUGAGUAACACGUGGAUAACCUACCUAUAAGACUGGGAUAACUUCGGGAAACCGGAGCUAAUACCGGAUAAUAUAUUGAACCGCAUGGUUCAAUAGUGAAAGACGGUUUUGCUGUCACUUAUAGAUGGAUCCGCGCCGCAUUAGCUAGUUGGUAAGGUAACGGCUUACCAAGGCGACGAUGCGUAGCCGACCUGAGAGGGUGAUCGGCCACACUGGAACUGAGACACGGUCCAGACUCCUACGGGAGGCAGCAGUAGGGAAUCUUCCGCAAUGGGCGAAAGCCUGACGGAGCAACGCCGCGUGAGUGUUGAAGGUCUUCGGAUCGUAAAACUCUGUUAUUAGGGAAGUACAAAUGUGUAAGUAACUAUGCACGUCUUGACGGUACCUAAUCAGAAAGCCACGGCUAACUACGUG